GUAAGAUCCCUCGAAGAUGACGAGGUUGAUAGGUCAGAGGUGGAAGCGCGGCGACGUGUGGAGCUGACUGAUACUAAUAGAUCGAGGACUUAACCAC
RNAcentral lists this ribosomal RNA (97 nucleotides) under Litchfieldia stipae. RNAcentral's name for it is "Bacillus sp. PS06 Bacterial large subunit ribosomal RNA". It matches the Rfam family "Bacterial large subunit ribosomal RNA", at positions 2828 to 2925 of the family's 2925-position model. The record is from Rfam by way of RNAcentral. Lineage: Bacteria; Bacillati; Bacillota; Bacilli; Caryophanales; Bacillaceae.